Molecule: long non-coding RNA, 628 nt
Organism: Pezoporus flaviventris
Lineage: Eukaryota; Metazoa; Chordata; Aves; Psittaciformes; Psittacidae
Exons: 4
Source: RefSeq, a predicted model, not a curated record
CCCUGAUCCCGUCUGUCCUGUUUUUGUUCGCCUUCCUUUGUUGCUGAUGGUUUCACGCUGUUUCCAUUCCUCUCCUUUCAUAUGACACAGAUUCUCUGCCUGAGCCAUGUCCAAGGUGUUGGACUCCCUGCAGUUACAGCACAGACACUCAAUGCUGAGGACAUGACUUCCUGCUUCACUGACAGUGUCUGCAUUGUGACACUGGGAGCUCUUAAUUUCUUUUUCACUGUUGCUGGUCUUUUGGUAUCUACAGGAGACCAAGGUCGCAGUAGUCUAGAUGAUCUACACACAGUGAGAAGGAGCUUUCUUUAUGGGCAACACAGAGAAAACAGACAAUGAAGAAGCCCCCAGGGGAUGGAAAGUGCCUAGUGUCACUCUGUAAUACAUUAUGGAGAGAAAUGAAAUGCAAAGCCGUUGUGCAACAUGCCGCAGUGUCCAGACGCUUGGAUGAAGAGGUGGAACCAGUUAUGUCUGUAUUUGGGAAAGCUGUUUGACAAGAUGAAACGUGAAUUGUCUACGGAGUGAUGCCAUUUGGACACUUCAGAUGCUGAUGCUUUGAGGACAUUCAGAACCUAAACCUAAAAUAUAAUUCCUUGAAAAUCUAGUGCAAUUCAAGUGGAAAACAAAA